Cephalotrichum gorgonifer is the source of this 72-nucleotide non-coding RNA. The record is from the annotation of a GenBank genome assembly. Lineage: Eukaryota; Fungi; Ascomycota; Sordariomycetes; Microascales; Microascaceae.
GGGAUUUUAGCAUAACGGUAAUGCACAUGACUUUUAAUCAUUCGAAUGUAGGUUCAAAUCCUGCAAAUCCUA